GUGCCACCGGCACAGUGCGCAGGCGCGAGAGCCUCUUCUGGUUAUAUAAGACAGGUCUAGGGCGUUUCUCGUUCCUUUGCGUCUUUGGCCCUGGUUCUUCUAUCUCGUGUUGGGUCGUACCUCAUCCGACCCAUCCGAUGAAGUCUGGGCCCGGAAACUCGGGUUUGCUACUGUGUGUGGUUAGCGCGGUCAGAGGGUACCGAAUGGAUCUUGGAGGAGGGAGGCACUCGCUGCUGGGCCUCCAAGAGACCCCCACGUAGACGUCUCCAGCCUUCGGUCUCCUGACUUGGGAUUUACUGUUGGCAGAAAGCAGGCUUCCAAGUGGACCAGGAGUGGGAAGGGCUUGGUCCGCAGCCCUGUGAGGCACAGGGCAGUAAGUCGAUUGAUGUAGACUGAUCUGCUUGUUUCAGUCUGUCCCAUAACAGGACUUUCUCAACUGGAGUUUGAAUACAAGCCUCGAAAAAGAUUGGCCUUGACCUUGUGCUUUUCUGAGAAAGGAUAAUUAAUAGUUCUGGAUGAAUCAGUCUCACAAGGCUUUUGUGUAACCUGAAGACUGUCUAGGGGCCUUGUGUGCAUUUUGAAGAAUAAAGAAUUGUUGAACUGUGGUAAAAUUUCUAACUUGUAUCUUCCCAAUCUGGAGUAAGAAAAUAAAAUUCUUCAAAUAAAAA
Long non-coding RNA from Neofelis nebulosa (Clouded leopard), 668 nucleotides. RefSeq lists it as uncharacterized. The record is from RefSeq and is a predicted model, not a curated record. The transcript has 5 exons. NCBI's taxonomy places the organism in Eukaryota, Metazoa, Chordata, Mammalia, Carnivora, Felidae.